UAGCAUAUCAAUAAGCGGAGGAAAAGAAACCAACAGGGAUUGCCCUAGUAACGGCGAGUGAAGCGGCAACAGCUCAAAUUUGAAAUCUGGCCUCCUUUGGGGGUCCGAGUUGUAAUUUGCAGAGGGUGCUUUGGCGUCGGCAGCGGUCUAAGUUCCUUGGAACAGGACAUCACAGAGGGUGAGAAUCCCGUACGUGGUCGCCUGCCUUCGCCGUGUAAAGCCCCUUCGACGAGUCGAGUUGUUUGGGAAUGCAGCUCUAAAUGGGAGGUAAAUUUCUUCUAAAGCUAAAUACCGGCCAGAGACCGAUAGCGCACAAGUAGAGUGAUCGAAAGAUGAAAAGCACUUUGGAAAGAGAGUCAAACAGCACGUGAAAUUGUUGAAAGGGAAGCGCUUGCAGCCAGACUUGCUCGCAGUUGCUCAUCCGGGUCCGCCCGGAGCAUUCUUCUGCGAGCAGGCCAGCAUCAGUUUGGGCGACCGGAUAAAGGCCUCUGUCAUGUAUCUUCCUUCGGGAAGACCUUAUAGGGGAGGCGUAAUGCGGUCAGCCCGGACUGAGGUCCGCGCAUCUGCUAGGAUGCUGGCGUAAUGGCUGUAAGCGGCCCGUCUUGAAACACGGACCAAGGAGUCUAACAUCUAUGCGAGUGUUUGGGUGUCAAGCCCGGGCGCGUAAUGAAAGUGAACGGAGGUGGGAACCCUCUUCGGGGGGCGCACCAUCGACCGAUCCUGAUGUCUUCGGAUGGAUUUGAGUAAGAGCAUAGCUGUUGGGACCCGAAAGAUGGUGAACUAUGCUUGAAUAGGGUGAAGCCAGAGGAAACUCUGGUGGAGGCUCGCAGCGGUUCUGACGUGCAAAUCGAUCGUCAAAUUUGGGCAUAGGGGCGAAAGACUAAUCGAACUAUCUAGUAGCUGGUUCCUGCCGA
RNAcentral lists this ribosomal RNA (914 nucleotides) under Keissleriella sp. RNAcentral's name for it is "partial large subunit ribosomal RNA". It matches the Rfam family "Eukaryotic large subunit ribosomal RNA", at positions 36 to 964 of the family's 3401-position model. Lineage: Eukaryota; Fungi; Ascomycota; Dothideomycetes; Pleosporales; Lentitheciaceae. The record is from RNAcentral.